Molecule: ribosomal RNA, 254 nt
Filed under: uncultured bacterium
Lineage: Bacteria
Description: partial 16S ribosomal RNA
Rfam family: Bacterial small subunit ribosomal RNA
Source: RNAcentral
UACGUAGGGUGCAAGCGUUGUCCGGAAUUAUUGGGCGUAAAGAGCUCGUAGGCGGUCUGUCGCGUCGGCCGUGAAAACCUGGGGCUCAACUCUGGGCGUGCGGUCGAUACGGGCAUCACUUGAGUUCGGCAGGGGAGACUGGAAUUCCUGGUGUAGCGGUGAAAUGCGCAGAUAUCAGGAGGAACACCGGUGGCGAAGGCGGGUCUCUGGGCCGAUACUGACGCUGAGGAGCGAAAGCAUGGGUAGCGAACAGG